This 484-nucleotide long non-coding RNA is filed under the name Cyanistes caeruleus (blue tit). RNAcentral describes it as "lncRNA (ENSCCEG00000017688.1)". The record is from RNAcentral. Lineage: Eukaryota; Metazoa; Chordata; Aves; Passeriformes; Paridae.
ACUUUAAGGGGACAGGGCAGGAAGUCACUGCUUUGUUUGUUUGCCUCUUUUAGAAGUCAACAGGUCUGAAGGAAUCACAGCACUUUGAAGCCACUGCCUGGGCAUGAGAAGCAGCUGAGAACAGCUCAGGCUCCUCAGAGAGCUCCUGGCUGUGGAACCAACUGCAGCCUCUCCAUCACCCUGGGGAGCCUUCAAAAAGCCCAGGCCUGAUUUGCUCCUGCUCCAACAAAGAGAAGAAACUCCAACAACCUGAGAGACAAUGGAUCAAGAACCAGGUUGGAAUGGCUGGAAAUGUUAAAGCAGCUUCUCUCUCCAGUGCUUUGCUGCAGGCUGCUACUUCCAACACCAGGAGCGCUGGACCGUGCACAGACCUUGAUCAUUUGUGACCUGGAUGUACACUAAAGUAAACCCAAAAUAUAAUAUUCUGGGCUUUAGACCAAAGUAGGUCAAUAAAAAUCAGAAUUCUGAUGUGGAGGAGAGCUGC